Molecule: long non-coding RNA, 3413 nt
Filed under: Triticum aestivum (bread wheat)
Lineage: Eukaryota; Viridiplantae; Streptophyta; Magnoliopsida; Poales; Poaceae
Description: long non-coding RNA (TAES_LNC001890)
Source: RNAcentral
AGAUUGCAGCUAUAAAAUCAGUUACCGAAUUCAUGCAUUGUUUAUUCUGACAACACACAAACAGAUCUACAAUCCAAUUCAAAGAAAAUACAAUAAAUCUACAAAUAUAUGAGAAAUCCCAUAAGGUACAUUAUUCCUUGGAUAGAUGCACGUUUAGCAUGGUCCAUGGCAAACUGCAACAUGCCAUCGAUAGCAAAUAGCCAAAAAAACAUUGUGCUACUUUUCUUAAUCAUUAUGUGCGAGCCUUAGAACCAUUGAAACGAAAGCAUAAAUAGGAGAGAAAGCAGACCAGGUGUAGAUCAACAUGGUAUGGUAUUGGGAUCCAAAUGGUUUAUUAUCUCUAGUGGCAUCAAUACCUUCCUGUAGAACACAAUGAUGAAGCUGUCAGUAUUAUUUUACAGAACAAUGUAAUGCAAAUAGAAUGUGUACAGACCGGAAAACUCUGGUCUUAGUCCAUUGAACACUAAAAAUGUGCAAGUCGCGGCAAGCAUGGUUCACCUUAUAAUUGUUGUUAUAACAGAUAGUUAUGUAUGGAAUGCAAUGGCAUGUUAAGCUAAGGAAAAUAAUGUGGACAAUUAUAGAAUUGUAUAGAUAAUGUAAUCAAACAUAUAUGUAAGAAGCAUGAUCCAAAUAGUACCAAUGUAUUGGUCAUCUUUUUGGCUUACGUUUUAUUUGAUUUUCUAAUAUCUUUUUUUAGUAGGGUUGUAAGUUGGCGUAUGAUUUCUUCUAAUACAGGUUAACUAAAAAUCUGCAAACAGGGUAAUGGUACUGAUCUGCAAUAGCAUCGAAUAUAAGGUUUUGACACCAAUUGUUACGAUUUUAGUAAACUAAAAUAUUAGAAAGAAGGGUGAACCCAUGAAUAUACCAAACGUGCAAGGUGGGAAAUAAAGAAAAGAAUCACCAGAGACAAUGGAAAACUGCACGUAUGAGUAGACCCCUCUGACAUGCAACAUCGCCAGUCAAUGUGUGAUGUCAAUGACAACCCAAAUACUACGUUUGUAAGCUAAUAUAAGACGUUUUAGAUCACUAAAGUAGUAGCGACGACCGAUGCCGUCACUCCAAUUCUGAAAAUGCUAUACAUGGCAUUCAAAUUUGAAGUUAACUUAUUAGAUGUCAAACAUAAAAUUAUGGCACCUGGAUAGACAGGACGGUCAUAUGUAGGAAAUUUCAUGGCAAAGCAAAUAAAUGAGUGUCUGCUGCAAAAGAUUCGCCAAAUUAUGCACUAAACAGAACCUCAAAUGCCCUAUACAAGAGGACUUCAACACAAAGCAGAGGAAAAUUACGCACUUUUGUUUUCUUUAAAACUGUCCAUGAGUGUAUUUUGCCAAUAAUUUGAAAAAAUGCAGUGCCUAAUUUUAUCAAGGGUUUUUAUCAUUUUUGCCACUAGUUGUGUCCCACUACUCAGUUUUGCCAUUAGAAAUUACAACUACUCAAAAUGACAUCGAUCCGUGAGAUGUUUGCUCAAAAAUGCCAACGUUCCGUUAGAUGUUUCCUCAAAAAUGCCAUUAGACAUCGUUAUUUUCACAUCAAACUCAUUGACCAUGUUAUAUGACAAAAAUAAGCCUAGACCCACAUGUCAGUUCUCUCUAUCUCACAAUGAUAAGUGUGGCCCCACUUGUCCGGAGUAAUCAAGCGAAUAAUUUUAUAAAAAAAUAAGAACGUCGUUGGGAUCAAGUGGGCCCCACACUUUAUUGUAGUAAGAUAGAAGGAGAGCUGGCAUGUUGGUUCAUAGGUAUUUAUGUCAUUAUAACAUGGCAAAAGAGAUUUGAGAUCACAAUAAUGGUGUUCAGUGGCAUUUUUGAACAUAUGUCUAACACAGCGAUGGCAUUUUUGAGCAGUUGAAAUUCCUAGUGGCAAAACUGAGUAGUGGGAGACAAUCGAUGGCAUAAAUGAUAAAAACCCUUUUAUCAAAUUUAGUCACAAAUAUUGGAGUGAGAAGACAUGUUACCGUGCUCGUCCCCUGAGUGCAAAAAAAAAGUCUCUUACUCUGAAUCUCUUUACUUUCAAUCAACUAAAUUUCAGCUUCAAGACUACAUAAUUUUUUAUAUCCGCAAAAGUUAAGCAGAUAGAAAAGCUGAGCUGACCUCCAACCAUGCAGUAAACUCCUAAUGAAGUUGUUCACGUCUGGUACCAAGCAGCAGUAGAGCAAGACAUCUCCUCCUUUUACAACACUUCCUCCUUGGAUAAUUAUAGUUGUGACUACAACUUUGCAGAAGUAUUUUUUUGCCUAAAUCAAGCCCAACCAAGAUAGUUCAGAACUCUAUACUAAAUAUCAAAUAAUAUAAUUACAUGGUCCCAAGUGAUGGAACAUACCACUCCAUUAUAUUUUCAUCUAAAAAGGUAUGCCACAAUAUAACUACACUCCAGAAUCCGCAAACAUGAGAAUUUAAUGGAGAGGCAACGCACCACAAGGGCAUACCAAAAGGCAGACUCCUGACACUUAAAUUCGAUGCAUCUGCCAUAAAAAAUACUAAGUGUCAAGUUCAUCAGUAGACCAAUUGUUUUCACUCCAUUCUCCAGUUCAUGGAUAAUAUCACAAUAUCACGCCCAUAAUCAAAAUCAAGAACGGACUGGCGACCUAGCAAUGUCGUGCAAUAGAGCAGUUAGUUCCAUCUAGAGCAAUCACACUGUAGUAGAGCGGUCAGUUCCACCUAGAGCAAUCAGACCAUAAAAUAUGAAAUUGCAUUGCAAGAUAAUUAACUUGAGGCAUAAUAGGGCACGAGCACUAACCUGUUUGAUAGCCAUUGGAGCUUCAUAGAAUCUACUGGAAGGUAGAAGACAACCCAGAAGAAGCAGCAGACCAAGUAAUAUGGAGCUCGAAUUUGCCUCCUAGAACACAUGGAUUCAUUUCAAAUUAUGUUAGCAUAAGGCACAAAUGUUGGGGAAACAUAAUUACAUGUUUGAGUACAUCUGCUUUAAUAUGAACCAUUUGAAGAUAGAAAAUUGAGGAUAUAGAAGGCACUACAUGCCAGUCUUGCUACUGCAACUAAACGUGACAUAGAAUUUAUAAGAAGAAACGGAUGCUUGUGCUAUAAAAGAUUCAAAAGUAACACUAAAUAGAAAAAAUAAUUAAAUAUAAAAGGGCAAGUAAUACUGUACAAUUCUGAUGAAUACUGAAAAUUAAUUUAUAAGUGUGAUUAUUGUGGUUUCUGGAGAGGUAGUGGAGCGUGAUGGCAAAGGGCCUAAAGGCAGGAGCACGUUGAUCUUAGCCCUGAAGAUGAUUAUGUGACUGCUUUUGCUCGUGAGCGCCAUCCACCGCUUGGCUUUGGGCAAUAGUGACUCACCGACCCCGUGAUUUAGUCGAUAUGAACAAACCGGAGUGCCCACGUUUUCCUGGCCGAAGGAGCGAUGCUGGCCACCAUCUCUUCCUCCACCUCCUCGAGCCCUCGCUCAGACUUCUUCACCUCCACCAU